This is a long non-coding RNA of Cyprinus carpio carpio, 1364 nucleotides long. NCBI's taxonomy places the organism in Eukaryota, Metazoa, Chordata, Actinopteri, Cypriniformes, Cyprinidae. The record is from Ensembl.
GUUGGACUAUCAAUAAGAAAAAAUCAGAAAAAAAUGACAGCUAUGCAUUUGUCAAUAUCUACACCCUAAACUGCUUAGGUAUCAAAGAGUGGUAUCAAAGCUUAUUAAACUUAGCUCCUGCAGGGCCACAGACCUCCAGAUGCCUUCUCCAAAUACCCGCACUUGCAGUCUUUGCACUUGACCACUUGACUACUUAUAUGACAUGUUUCCUGUAUUUGGUCCAAGUGUUCAAGUGAGCAUGAAGACCACAAGUGUGUGUAGAACUUUUCAUUACCUGAUGGGACACACUUAUAGUGUUGUAAAAAUGCAAGUGUUUACAGAGUUUUAUUUUUAUUUUCAAUACUUUGCAUUUCAAAAUCAACUUCUAAAUGUCUGUUCAGUAGUCCCUAUAAUUAAGCACAUAUUAAUUCCUUAUUCUACAUGACCUACUACAUCCCUAAUCCUACCCAAUAUCUUAACUUAACAACUACCUUACUAACUAUUAAUAAGCAGCAAAUUAGGAAUUUAUUGAGGGAAAUGUCUUAGUUAAUAGUGAAUAAGUGUUCCCUAUUCUAAAGUGUUACCGAUGCUUCUAAUUAAGUGAUAAAAUGCCGUUUUCAAAUGUUUUACAAAAUAAUUAUCACCACUACUCAUUUGCACCAAUAAAAUGUGCAACUCUAUGUUUUACUUCCAAAUUAUAUGUAAUAUCUAAUUAUUAUUAAUAUUUAACAUACAUUGGAAAGGUUUCUGUGAUUUCUCACGAGAUCUCUGCAACAAAUCUCACGAUUUAUUUCCACAACAUGAUGCAUGAUGGGAUACACUAAGCCUUGAAUACCGCUCCAGAGCGGUAUUCGAGAUAGUGUGAAUUAAGUGUGCAUUUAGGAUUGCUAUUUAGUGUGUGCUUUGCGUUUUUAAGACCUGGAACAGUCUUGCACACUUAUCACACUUGCACACUUCCUGUCGCGCGCAUGCACUCUCAAGUGGCCAAGACCGCAGAUGUGGGUAUUUGGAUAAGGGGUGUGCUUUGCUCCAACCCUAAUUAAACACAGCUGACCCAGCUUAUCAAGGUCUUUAGGAGUGCUAGAAAUUUCCUACGAGGUGUGUUGGAGUUAAACUGUGCAGGUGAGUGGCUCUCCAGAGUUUUACAAAGAUUCUAAACAAAAGGCCUUUUUGACCAACAUUUUUUGAAAGAGAAAUAAUAGUUCUUUGGAACAAUUAAUGAUGGAAAGGAGUAAAUGGUAUUCUCACAGUUAAAUUUGUUGGCGUUGAUAGGUGCCCGUCAGCCUUUAUGCAAGACACUGCACAACCAAUCACACAAACCACCAAAAACAUCAGCUUGCUCUCCAUCUGUUGGUGUGUAUUUACCAGUAGAUAUGUUCACCUUC